This 468-nucleotide ribosomal RNA is filed under the name uncultured bacterium. Its description in RNAcentral is "partial 16S ribosomal RNA". It matches the Rfam family "Bacterial small subunit ribosomal RNA", at positions 28 to 507 of the family's 1533-position model. The record is from RNAcentral.
GACGAACGCUGGCGGCGUGCUUAACACAUGCAAGUCGAACGGAAAGGCCCUGCUUUUGUGGGGUGCUCGAGUGGCGAACGGGUGAGUAACACGAGAGUAACCUGCCCUUGACUUUGGGAUAACUUCACGAAACUGGGGCUAAUAUCGGAUAGGAGCUCCUGCUGCAUGGUGGGGGUUGGAAAGUUUCGGCGGUUGGGGAUGGAUUGGCGGCUUAUCAGCUUGUUGGUGGGGUAGUGGCUUACCAAGGCUUUCACGGGUAGCCGGCCUGAGAGGGUGACCGGGCACAAGAGGACUGCGAGAGGGAGCAGACGCCUACGGGAGGCAGCAGUGGGGAAUAUUGCACAGUGGGCGGGCGCCGGAUGCGACGGCGCCGCGUGCGGGAUGACGGUCUUCGGGGUGUAAACCGCUGUCGCCUGUGACGAAGCGGGAGUGACGGUAAUGGGUGAAGAAGCACCGGCUAACUACGUG